Molecule: ribosomal RNA, 896 nt
Filed under: Streptococcus anginosus
Lineage: Bacteria; Bacillati; Bacillota; Bacilli; Lactobacillales; Streptococcaceae
Description: partial 16S ribosomal RNA
Rfam family: Bacterial small subunit ribosomal RNA
Source: RNAcentral
AUUGAACGCUGGCGGCAGGCCUAACACAUGCAAGUCGAACGGUAACAGGAAGAAGCUUGCUUCUUUGCUGACGAGUGGCGGACGGGUGAGUAAUGUCUGGGAAACUGCCUGAUGGAGGGGGAUAACUACUGGAAACGGUAGCUAAUACCGCAUAACGUCGCAAGACCAAAGAGGGGGACCUUCGGGCCUCUUGCCAUCGGAUGUGCCCAGAUGGGAUUAGCUAGUAGGUGGGGUAACGGCUCACCUAGGCGACGAUCCCUAGCUGGUCUGAGAGGAUGACCAGCCACACUGGAACUGAGACACGGUCCAGACUCCUACGGGAGGCAGCAGUUUUUUUUUAUUGCACAAUGGGCGCAAGCCUGAUGCAGCCAUGCCGCGUGUAUGAAGAAGGCCUUCGGGUUGUAAAGUACUUUCAGCGGGGAGGAAGGGAGUAAAGUUAAUACCUUUGCUCAUUGACGUUACCCGCAGAAAAAGCACCGGCUAACUCCGUGCCAGCAGCCGCGGUAAUACUGAGGGUGCAAGCGUUUAUCCGAAUUACUGGGCGUAAGGCGUAGGCAGGGGGGUUGGUUAAUUCUAGUUGGAAAUCCCCCCGGCUCAACCUGGCAAACCUAUCUGAUACUCGUAACUUUAUUCUCCUAAGAGGGGUCAAAUUCCCCGUGGGUGCGGAAAUUUGCUUCUAUCUUGAUGGAUAUCCCGUACAAAAGCUCUGUCUUUGUUUUGCUUAUUUUUCCUUCGUUACGUCUUGGGGGGCGUAGUUGAGGUAGUGUCUGGGGGUCCUAGUUUGUGAUUCGCGUCUUUUUGGCCUAUAUCCCGGGGUUUACCUGAAAUAAGAAAAAAAAGGUCUUAAUUUUUUUCUUCGAAAUUCUUUUCUCCUGUCGCGCUUAGUUUCUCUAACA